AGGGAAGGACAGGAAGUAGCACUGUGGCAUGAAUAAUUUAGAGAAGCAUUCUUUUUGAGGUUCCUGGGUGUCUCUGGAGGAAGGCGGUUCUGAAAGGCAGGAGUGUCUCAGUCCUACAACUGCAAGAACA
Molecule: long non-coding RNA, 130 nt
Filed under: Callithrix jacchus (white-tufted-ear marmoset)
Lineage: Eukaryota; Metazoa; Chordata; Mammalia; Primates; Cebidae
Description: lncRNA (ENSCJAG00000071586.1)
Source: RNAcentral